CUACGGGGGGCUGCAGUCGAGAAUCUUCGGCAAUGGACGAAAGUCUGACCGAGCGACGCCGCGUGCGGGAUGAAGGCCUUCGGGUUGUAAACCGCUGUCAGAGGGAAGGAAAUUUUGACCGAUCCUCAAAGGAAGUACGGGCUAAGUUCGUGCCAGCAGCCGCGGUAAGACGAACCGUACAAACGUUAUUCGGAAUCACUGGGCUUAAAGGGUGCGUAGGUGGUCUAUUAAGUUGGGUGUGAAAUCCCUCGGCUCAACCGAGGAACUGCGCUCAAUACUGGUAGACUUGAGGGAGAUAGAGGUGAGCGGAACUGAUGGUGGAGCGGUGAAAUGCGUUGAUAUCAUCGGGAACACCUGUGGCGAAAGCGGCUCACUGGAUCUCUUCUGACACUGAGGCACGAAAGCUAGGGGAGCGAACGGGAUUAGAUACCCGAGUAGUC
Molecule: ribosomal RNA, 440 nt
Filed under: uncultured bacterium
Lineage: Bacteria
Description: partial 16S ribosomal RNA
Rfam family: Bacterial small subunit ribosomal RNA
Source: RNAcentral